CCCACGAAAAGUCCGACAGACAAGGAACGGUUCAAGAAAAGACAUAAUUUGACGCGCGCUGAGGUGCUUUAGAAGAUCGUACUUGUGAAAUAAACUUAUUUGUGAUUCCAUGCAUAUUUGUGAGGAAUGCUGUUAUGGUAUAACCCUAAUUUUAACCAGUAAGAGACUAAGAGUUCGUAAGAUGACUCGGAGGGUCAUCGAGUUUGAUGUUCAUUGCCUCAAAUUGCGUUCAAAUUGUCACAUCGGACCAUUAUUCUUUUGCAAGAGAGCAAUUAAAUGUGAGUGAAACUCUGGUUAGGUGUUGGCAUCGGUGUUCCCAAAAGCUGAGAAAAUCCAAAGGGAUGCAGAACUUCAGUGUCGAUACUCAAUACACAGAUUGUAACAGCUAUUAUCUACAAUUCAUUGUGGGAGACCCUCAAUGUGUCGUCAACAUUAAAUCUACAAUUAAUAC
Molecule: long non-coding RNA, 451 nt
Organism: Saccostrea cuccullata (small rock oyster)
Lineage: Eukaryota; Metazoa; Mollusca; Bivalvia; Ostreida; Ostreidae
Exons: 3
Source: RefSeq, a predicted model, not a curated record